AAAAGAUGGUUCUGCUAUCACUCUUGGAUGGACCUGCGGUGCAUUAGCUAGUUGGUAAGGUAACGGCUUACCAAGGCAAUGAUGCAUAGCCGAGUUGAGAGACUGAUCGGCCACAUUGGGACUGAGACACGGCCCAAACUCCUACGGGAGGCAGCAGUAGGGAAUCUUCCACAAUGGACGCAAGUCUGAUGGAGCAACGCCGCGUGAGUGAAGAAGGGUUUCGGCUCGUAAAGCUCUGUUGGUAGUGAAGAAAGAUAGAGGUAGUAACUGGCCUUUAUUUGACGGUAAUUACCUAGAAAGUCACGGCUAACUACGUGCCAGCAGCCGCGGUAAUACGUAGGUGGCAAGCGUUGUCCGGAUUUAUUGGGCGUAAAGCGAGUGCAGGCGGUUCAAUAAGUCUGAUGUGAAAGCCUUCGGCCCAACCGGAGAAUUGCAUCAGAAACUGUUGAACUUGAGUGCAGAAGAGGAGAGUGGAACUCCAUGUGUAGCGGUGGAAUGCGUAGAUAUAUGGAAGAACACCAGUGGCGAAGGCGGCUCUCUGGUCUGCAACUGACGCUGAGGCUCGAAAGCAUGGAUAGCGAACAGGAUUAGAUACCCUGGUAGUCCAUGCCGU
Molecule: ribosomal RNA, 613 nt
Filed under: uncultured bacterium
Lineage: Bacteria
Description: bacterial SSU rRNA
Rfam family: Bacterial small subunit ribosomal RNA
Source: RNAcentral